This 428-nucleotide ribosomal RNA is filed under the name uncultured bacterium. RNAcentral describes it as "partial 16S ribosomal RNA". It matches the Rfam family "Bacterial small subunit ribosomal RNA", at positions 338 to 795 of the family's 1533-position model. The record is from RNAcentral.
CCUACGGGAGGCAGCAGUGGGGAAUCUUGCGCAAUGGGCGAAAGCCUGACGCAGCGACGCCGCGUGAGUGAUGAAGGCCUUCGGUUGUAAAGCUCUGUGGGGAGAGUGGCGGUAUCCCCUUAGCAAGCACCGGCUAACUCUGUGCCAGCAGCCGCGGUAAGACAGAGGGUGCAAACGUUGUUCGGAAUUACGGGCGUAAAGCGAGUGUAGGCGGUCUCAAAAGUCAGGUGUGAAAGCCCUGGGCUCAACCCAGGAAGUGCACUUGAAACUGCGAGGCUAGAGUACUGGAGAGGUUGGUGGAAUUCUCGGUGUAGAGGUGAAAUUCGUAGAUAUCGAGAGGAACACCGGUGGCGAAGCGGCCAACUGGCAAUACUGACGCUGAGACUCGAAAGCGUGGGGAGCAAACAGGAUUAGAUACCCUUGUAGUC